AGGGGAGUGAUUUUGGACCCGUUUACACAAAGGGAAGAUGCAGAUAUUUUCCUGCGGUUUGGCCUCUCAUUUACACGAAAACCUUGUUUUUAUCACAGAAAACGAUUAUUUCUAAAAAUUCUGGCCAAAGUGGAGAUUUCUGAUAACGCUGGUUAUGUGUUGUCGUGUCAACUGGGAGAAACGGGGUUUUAGGUUCUCAAACGUCACAUUAUACACCAGAAAAUGCUUAACGUCAUGUGAGCGCCUUAUGUUUACAGUUUGUUUGGCUACUGAUCAUGGAUGCUAUUAUGGUGGUACUUAUUUUUACGUUUGUGCAAACGCUUUUGGCCUGUUUG
Molecule: long non-coding RNA, 335 nt
Organism: Alosa sapidissima (American shad)
Lineage: Eukaryota; Metazoa; Chordata; Actinopteri; Clupeiformes; Clupeidae
Exons: 3
Source: RefSeq, a predicted model, not a curated record